UACGUAGGGGGCAAGCGUUGUCCGGAAUUAUUGGGCGUAAAGAGCGCGUAGGCGGUCCGAUAAGUCGGCUGUGAAAGUCCAGGGCUCAACCCUGGAAAGCCGGCCGAUACUGUCGGACUAGAGUCCGGAAGAGGAGAAUGGAAUUCCCGGUGUAGCGGUGAAAUGCGCAGAUAUCGGGAAGAACACCCGUGGCGAAGGCGGUUCUCUGGGACGGUACUGACGCUGAGACGCGAAAGCGUGGGGAGCGAACAGG
Molecule: ribosomal RNA, 253 nt
Filed under: uncultured bacterium
Lineage: Bacteria
Description: partial 16S ribosomal RNA
Rfam family: Bacterial small subunit ribosomal RNA
Source: RNAcentral